Molecule: ribosomal RNA, 542 nt
Filed under: Bacillus sp. (in: firmicutes)
Lineage: Bacteria; Bacillati; Bacillota; Bacilli; Caryophanales; Bacillaceae
Description: bacterial SSU rRNA
Rfam family: Bacterial small subunit ribosomal RNA
Source: RNAcentral
AGUCUGACGGAGCACGCCGCGUGAGUGAUGAAGGUUUUCGGAUCGUAAAGCUCUGUUGUUAGGGAAGAACAAGUACCGUUCGAAUAGGGCGGUACCUUGACGGUACCUAACCAGAAAGCCACGGCUAACUACGUGCCAGCAGCCGCGGUAAUACGUAGGUGGCAAGCGUUGUCCGGAAUUAUUGGGCGUAAAGCGCGCGCAGGUGGUUCCUUAAGUCUGAUGUGAAAGCCCACGGCUCAACCGUGGAGGGUCAUUGGAAACUGGGGAACUUGAGUGCAGAAGAGGAAAGUGGAAUUCCAAGUGUAGCGGUGAAAUGCGUAGAUAUUUGGAGGAACACCAGUGGCGAAGGCGACUUUCUGGUCUGUAACUGACACUGAGGCGCGAAAGCGUGGGGAGCAAACAGGAUUAGAUACCCUGGUAGUCCACGCCGUAAACGAUGAGUGCUAAGUGUUAGGGGGUUUCCGCCCCUUAGUGCUGCAGCUAACGCAUUAAGCACUCCGCCUGGGGAGUACGGUCGCAAGACUGAAACUCAAAGGAAAUUU